CCUACGGGUGGCAGCAGUGAGGAAUAUUGGUCAAUGGGCGCGAGCCUGAACCAGCCAAGUAGCGUGAAGGAUGACUGCCCUACGGGAUGUAAACUUCUUGUAUAAAGGAAUAAAGUGAGGCACGUGUGCCUUUUUGUAUGUACUUUAUGAAUAAGGAUCGGCUAACUCCGUGCCAGCAGCGGCGGUAACACGGAGGUUCCGAGCGUUAUCCGGAUUUAUUGUGUUUAAAGGGAGCGUAGAUGGGUUGUUAAGUCAGGUGUGAAAGUUUGCGGCUCAACCGUAAAAUUGCAUUUGAUACUGGCAGCCUUGAGUACAUUUGAGGUAGGCGGAAUUCGUUGUGUAGCGG
Molecule: ribosomal RNA, 346 nt
Filed under: uncultured bacterium
Lineage: Bacteria
Description: partial 16S ribosomal RNA
Rfam family: Bacterial small subunit ribosomal RNA
Source: RNAcentral